Labrus mixtus (cuckoo wrasse) is the source of this 2125-nucleotide long non-coding RNA. RefSeq lists it as uncharacterized. The transcript is spliced from 3 exons. The record is from RefSeq and is a predicted model, not a curated record. NCBI's taxonomy places the organism in Eukaryota, Metazoa, Chordata, Actinopteri, Labriformes, Labridae.
GGGGGAACGAGUCAGCCUGCUUCUGUCUGAAGGAAGAAUAGAACUGGUCGAAUUUUGUACUCGUUUUAAUGUGAAAAUACCAACUACAUAGUUUUACAAACAGAAAUCUUGAAGCCACAGUGUGGUGUGGGGUUUCAGGAGUAACAUGGAGGGAACUAUUUUGUCUUGUCAAACAGCCAGGUUUGAAGCCAUCAUGUCAUUGGGGAUUUAUACCUGAACCUGCACAUAAGCAGCGUGAUUCAUCCAGAAAUAGAUCCAGCACUUCUCUCCACUUUGAACGAGGUAGAAACAGGAUCAGUGCAGGGAUUCAAGGCCGUGUUUAAACUUUCAGAACUAUUUGUUUUUAAGCUGACUUCAGCAGCAGAACAGCUGCCACCAUCCUCCUCUUCAUCGUCUCCUCCUCCUCCCUCUGGUUAUCAUCCUGCUCUCUGAUUGCUCUCCUUCCUCCUCUCCUUCCUCCUCUCUUCUGGCGACAUGAAGAUAUCACCCGGAUGAAUUUAAACGUCAUGUACGAUAACAGAUGAACAGAUUCUCCGAGAGGGCGGAGAAUGACACGCGGACGUUUGCAAUGGGAGAUAUUAACAAAUGAAAGAAAAGGGAACAGAGCAGGAUGAUGAAUUUGAAUAUCAUCUUCAUGUCUGAUAACAGAGCGUGUGAUACGUUAGUUAUCAAUGAGAAAAAUACAUGGUGUCAUAAUGAAUAUGAGCGGAGAGUUUAGCACAGAUUAGACGCUUUAUUGAUGAGAAAUGGAAACAAUCAUUUAGAGAUUUUCAGCGCUCUGAGAGACGGACGAUGUUUAGCUCCGUUCAGAGAAAGAAACACGAGAGUGGACUGUUUGUACCGGAGGAGAUAUGAUUACACACAGAUAUGAUCUCACUUCACUGGAGCUGUGCUACAUCAGCUUUUAUUAGUUUGAACCUCAGACUACAAGUGGUUGGAGCCUCAUGGUUUUAACUGAAGCCACUGCAGAGGUGACUGAAACCUGCAUUCUGUUAACGGCCUACAGGGGGCGACUCACCUGGUUGCAAAAAGAAUCUACUGUAGGAUCAAAUGGUCUCUGCUGAUUUUAUUCCCUCCUGAAGAGUUUAUGGUCUCACACUCUGGUUUCAAGUCUUCUUCAUCACAGUGUGAUUAUUUAUGAAAUGAUCGUCCCAUUUAAAGAAGAAGAAGAAAUAUAUUCUGCAGGCCAUGGCCUCCAAGUCAGAAUCAAAAUGUCUGCACGUUCUUGGACAUAUGCGUUAAGACAAACCGCUGGAUGAUGUCAUGUUGGCUUUGUUUACUUGUUAAAUACAGUGGAUGGUUUUAACACAGUUCAAGCAGCCCGACUCUUUGAAUGUGGAAGCUGGUUCAGCGGCCGAUUCUUAAAAAUGGUUUUCUUCAAGUUUAUGGUUCCUCUCUGGAGUGAUGUCAGCCCUCUGUCCUCGAGGUUAAAGUGAGAAGAUCCAAAGUGUGCAUGAGGUGGUGUUGGGGGGCUUUGGAGGGAUGUGUUAGAGACAUUCAGUGACCCUCCUUUUUAAAUGAUGAAUAAGAGUUGAAUAACAGAGCGACCUGUACUGUAAGUUACAUCAGGUGCAUGACCUCAUAUGUAGGUAAGAACUUCUUCAAAUCCAAAGCAGAUACUUCAGCAGCGGGUCAUUGUAUCAGGUAUCUGAAUGAACACCUGUCAGCUCAAACUGUCACAGAAACGUGUCUCGAUGUUUGACUUUCUUUGUCGCUCUGAUUAAAGCGAGCUCAGGUUGACCUCGGUUCAGAGCUCGUCGUCUUUGUGCUGCAGCUGCUCUUGCUGCGGGGGGUUUUUGUCUUUCCAAGCCAAGAUGCAAUUUAGCUGCCCUGAGCUAGCACCGGGGCCUCCGUCUCUUAAUAACUGCCACUGUUAUGAAGUGUUGACAACUAAUAUCAGGGGAUAAUUCAGCCGGCGUGCCCAGACCCCCCCCCCCCCCCCCCCCCCCCCCGCUUUAUUAACACCCAGUUUCCUCCAGCAUGCAGCCGCAGUGUUUCCUCCUCUCUCUCCUCCUCUCUCUCCAUUUUACUGUCCUCAUUUUUUAAAGUUUCUCUUUAAAGUUGUUCUGUUUCCUCCCUGCGACCUCUCCUUAUCUCCUUCCCUUCUUCUAACUCCUUCUCUGUU